GCUAUACAUGCAAGUAGAACGCUGAAGGAGGAGCUUGCUUCUCCGGACGAGUUGCGAACGGGUGAGUAACGCGUAGGUAACCUGCCUGGUAGCGGGGGAUAACUAUUGGAAACGAUAGCUAAUACCGCAUAAGAGUAGAUGUUGCAUGACAUUUGCUUAAAAGGUGCAAUUGCACCACUACCAGAUGGACCUGCGUUGUAUUAGCUAGUUGGUGGGGUAACGGCUCACCAAGGCGACGAUACAUAGCCGACCUGAGAGGGUGAUCGGCCACACUGGGACUGAGACACGGCCCAGACUCCUACGGGAGGCAGCAGUAGGGAAUCUUCGGCAAUGGACGGAAGUCUGACCGAGCAACGCCGCGUGAGUGAAGAAGGUUUUCGGAUCGUAAAGCUCUGUUGUAAGAGAAGAACGAGUGUGAGAGCGGAAAGUUCACACUGUGACGGUAUCUUACCAGAAAGGGACGGCUAACUACGUGCCAGCAGCCGCGGUAAUACGUAGGUCCCGAGCGUUGUCCGGAUUUAUUGGGCGUAAAGCGAGCGCAGGCGGUUAGAUAAGUCUGAAGUUAAAGGCUGUGGCUUAACCAUAGUACGCUUUGGAAACUGUUUAACUUGAGUGCAAGAGGGGAGAGUGGAAUUCCAUGUGUAGCGGUGAAAUGCGUAGAUAUAUGGAGGAACACCGGUGGCGAAAGCGG
This 691-nucleotide ribosomal RNA is filed under the name uncultured Streptococcus sp. RNAcentral's name for it is "bacterial SSU rRNA". It matches the Rfam family "Bacterial small subunit ribosomal RNA", at positions 48 to 724 of the family's 1533-position model. The record is from RNAcentral. Lineage: Bacteria; Bacillati; Bacillota; Bacilli; Lactobacillales; Streptococcaceae.